Long non-coding RNA from Sarcophilus harrisii (Tasmanian devil), 14654 nucleotides. Lineage: Eukaryota; Metazoa; Chordata; Mammalia; Dasyuromorphia; Dasyuridae. The record is from Ensembl.
GAAUCCUCUCUGAUGUUUUGCUGGGUACAUGACAAUGUUCUCUUUUAUUUAGUUUUGUAUUCUUUUCUGUUUUGCUUAUUCUCUUUGUUUUUUUUAAAUAAAAUUAAAGUUAAAAAAAUGAAGAUACAAAAGAUAUUAAUCAUUGAAAUCAGAGACUUUACACUCUAGCUAAGAUAAUUCAAACAGACAGAGGCAUAGAGACCAAGAUGAGGUAUUUUGGUUUGGAAAGUUAUAGGAAUAAUGAAUUAAGUUAUAGGAGAGAACAGAUGAACCCUUUCCAGUGGUGAUGGUAAUAUUGACUUUAUUAUGAUUUGAAAAUGGGAAAGACAAGAGGUCUAAAAUUCCAGUGAAAGGGAAAUCAGUGUCAGGAUUUAAGGAGAAGUAUGGCUGAAGUUAGAUAGACAUAGUGGCCCAAAGGAGGUAUUCACCACAGGAUAGCAAGACCCCUUGGCAGGAGUUUCUGGGCUGAAAUAAGAGUGCUUUUAAAGUCUUAAAGGCCUGGAGUCAGAAAAUUACUGUGAGGAUCAAAUGAGAUAAUAUAUUUGUAAAGCACUUAGCAUACUGCUUGGUACAUAGUAGGUGCUUAAUAAAUGUUUUUUUCCUAUCUUCCUUUCUAUAUAAACAAAUAUUAUGUUAUUAUUAAUAAUAUAGAAUGUGGGGGCAGCUAGAUGGCUCAGUGGAUAGAGCACUAGCCCUGAAGUCAGGAGGACCUGAGUUCAAAUAUGAUCUCAGAUACUUAAUACUUCCUAGCUGUGUGACCCUGGGCAAUUCACUUAACCCCAAUUGCUUAGGGAAAAAUACAGAUAUAGAUAUUACCAUCCCAAUUUUACAGUGGAAAAAACUGAGACCUAGAAAAUCUGUAGUCAGUCCCAGUUCACCUAGCAAGUUAGAAUCAGAAUCCAGGAAUAGACCUUGAUGUCAUGAUACACCCUCCCCCUUCUCCAACAGGGAUGACCCUAUUUAGUCAUAUUGCUUUCUUAUCCUCCUGGUCACAGUGCAAUUCAAUCUGUCACAGGUACAGUGGGCCACCAAGAUGUGAAGAGCCUGGUCCUCCCGAGCAGAAAUGAUGGCCUUUGCUUCUUUUGAUUAAUCAAGCACAUGUUCUCUUCUAUUAGGAGGGAUUAAGUUGGUACUGCACCAGGGACCUAGUUUGCCUAUAAAUCAUCCCUUGCUUGCAACAGCAAUUCCCAUCCAGGACUCACUCCAGCGCUUAUUAUAAGGAUGGUUAGCUGGGCCCAUCUCCUGCUGAAUAAAUGAGGUCCCUAUCUGAAAAACCUCCAGUCUUACAGCCCAGCAAAGUUGCUAUCCAUAUUGGUAAGUGGUUUUUCAGAUGCUGAGGAAAAGUAGUCAUGUCAUUUUCCAUCCCCAGAGGCCAAAACCUUAUUUGUAAAAACUGGAUUUCCAUAAACAAUCAUUCCAUCUUCCCAGCGUCCAACAUGAGAUCUGACCAAUGAUGAGGGAAUGACACUGCUUUAUCAAGCAUUUUAGAGAGGAAAGGAAUUGACAUGAAAAAGAAAGAAGGAAAGUCAUUGAGUUUAGAAUCAUGGGCUCUUCAAGAUGGAAGGAAUUUAGAGAUGAUUUAAUUCAAUUUCCUUCAUUCCUCUCCCCACUUUUUUUUUCUUUAGCAGAAGUGGAAGCUGAGGAUGAGAAAAAUGUGGAGUGACAUGGUUAUAAUCAUGAUCAUACAGUAUAUUAAUAGCAGAUUGAAAUUGGAAAUCAGGUCGUCUGUUCUCAGUCCCAGGGCCAUUUCUACUACCCUCCUUUCAUUCUUUGGUUUAUGCUUGAUUUUUAAAUUAUCAUUGUUAUUGUUGUUGUAAUUAUGGAUGAUGAUGAUGAUGAUGAUGAUUGAUGAUGCAUUGACCAGGCUCCAGAGGUAAUCAGACCCAGUCAAUAUCAAUAAUGGUUGCCAUUUAAAAGGCUAUGCUUUAGAUUUAUAAAAUAUUUUCUAGGAUCUAGGAUCUAGUUUACAUAUUUAAAUCCCCCUUUUCCAGAGGAAGAAAUAAAGCCUCAGAGAGAGAUUGCACAUCUAGUUAGGAAGGAAUCCUAAGGAAGUUCAGGUUUCUUCUCUAAGCUCAAAGUCAGCACUCUCUGUAGUCAGGAAGACCUGACUUCAAAAACGCCUUAAGCCUAGUGUGUGAUACUUAGCAAAUCAUUUAAUCACUCUUUGCCUCAAUUUCCUCAAUGUAAAUUAGGGAUAAUAAUAGUACCUACCUCCCAGAGUUGUUUUAAGAAUCAAAUGAAUUAGUGUAUAUUAGGUGUUACUCAAACUUUAAAGUCCUAUCUAUUAUCAGUUCUUGCUUUUUGAGUAUGAAUGAGUUCAAUCUUCCCUCCUGAGAACAGGAGAGUUAGAGAGAUCUAAUUAAUAGUGAAGGAAUAGCUAGGUAAAGCAGUGAAUAGAGCAGUGAGCCUGCUCAGGAAGACCCAAGUUCAAGUUUGGCUUCAGACACUUAGUAGUUGUCAUUUAACUUCUAUUUGCCUUAAUAUCUCAUCUGUAAACUGGAGACACAAUGGAGAAGGAAAUGAAUUAAUUUACCAAGAAAACUCCAUUUUGUCUGUGAGAGUCAUGUAGAAUUGAACAUAAAUGGAUGACUAAACAACAAGUUAGUUUGAAAAUGAUUAGUGUUGGGAACUGUGUACUGUUAGGGUCUGAACAGUGGAAAAAUCUUAGAAUCAUAGAUUUAGAGCUGGAAGGAUCCUCAUAGUCCCACCUCAUUAUUUUAUAUAUGGCAAAACUGAGGCACAGAUAAGCUAGUAAGAGACAGAGUUGGAAUUCCAAUCCAAGUAUCUGCUGGUGAAGCACAUUUUCCAUUGCAUGUUUUGGUUAAUGUAUGAUUCCAGUUAGGAAUUAGCAUGGUUCUGGUUGACACAUUUAGAGUCCCCAGAGCUACCCAAACUUGGUCUUAGAACACAAUAUAACCUAAAAAUGAUGUGUAUACAUAUUGUGGGAAGCGCCUCUCACACCUUAAAUCCUAGGCCUGCAGAACUGAAAAAAAUGGGUGCCAAUUUUCUCCUUGAAUGUAGGGUUGGGGAAGAAGAAUUAAAGUUGAUGCCACCUACCCCUUCCCAGUUCUGUCUUCAGCCUCUGAUCUUUUCCUGCCCUAGAUUCCCAGGUAAUGAUUGUUGAGAAAAAAAAAUAUAUUAAGUUCCAAACUACUUCUUCCAUUUCUACAACCGUUGGUAAUAACACAGCAGGCUUGAGAAGGUUGCUCCCAGGCCUUGAAAGAGUUUAGGAAUUCCCAUGUGUCUUCUUUGAGGGAAUCACUGGCGGAAGUAAUCUCCACCAUCCUAUAUGUCUCCCUCAAACACCCACAGAGUUUUCUUCCAAAUUUUAGAAAAGACAAGCUUUUUGGAGAUGACAGAGGAAUUCAAAAUCAUUAAAUCAUUAAACACAAAAGUAGAAAAGAAGAAAGACAGAUUUCAGCAGAAUGAGCAAGAAUUAGAAAAUCAAAGGCAAAUAAAGACAUUUGGAACUGGGAGAGACCCCAGAGAUUUUCUGUCUCAACUUUCUCAUUUUUCAGAUAGGAAAACUGAGGCUAAGAGCGACUUAGCUAAAGUCACAUAGAUAGUAAGAAGCCACCAUUUGAAAAUAAUCUUUUCUGUUUAUUUUGGGAAGCAACUGGGGGUAAAUAAUUUGCCCAAGUCACACAGCUAAUAAGUAUCAAGUGGCUAAGGCUGUAUUUGAACUCAGGUCUUCUGGGUUUCAGAGUGGGUGAUCGAUAGGUCACUGUACCAUCUAGCUGUCCAGUUGCUAUCCCUAUAAUUAUUACUGGGUUAAAGUAAGAUGGUCUUGGAAUCAGGAAGAUCUGAGAGCUCAAAUGCAGACUCACAUAUCCAUGUGAUCCUUGGCAAAGUACUUAACUGCUUUUGGAUUCAGCCUCCUUAACUAUAAAAUAGGGAUAAUAACAGCACCCAUCUCCCAGGAUCUGUGAAGAUCAAAUGAGAUCGUAUUUGAAAAGUGCUUAGCACAGUGCUUUAGUAGGUGCUUAACAAAUGAGGCAAUAUUGGCACAAGCUUUGCUAAUCUAAAAACACUAAAUCAGUAUUGGCAAUACUAAAUAGUAGUAUCAAGAUUCAAAUCCAGAUCUUCAGAAUUCAAAACUAGUGCUCUUCUCAUAGCACUAAAUUUCCUCUUUGUUAAGAUACUAGAAUCACUGUUGUCUGUGUCCUAAAAAGAUUGCACAAGAGGGGAAAGAACCCAUUUGUGCAAAAAUAUUUAUAACAGCCCUUUUUGUGGAGCCAAGAAACUGGAAAAUGAGUGGAUGUCCAUCAAUUUGGGAGUGGCUGGGUAAGUAAAUAUUAUUGUUCUAUAAGAAAUGGUGAGCAGGCUGAUUUCAGAAAAACCUAGAAAAAUUUACAUGAAUUGAUGUUGAGAGAAGUGAAAUUGCUGCCCUCAUCCAGAGGGGGAUCUAUGGGAUACAAUGCAGAUUGAAACAUUAUUUUCACCUUUCUUGUAAGUUUGUUUGCUUUUUCCUUCUCGUGGUUUUGUCCCUGUUGGUCUGAUUUUUCUUGCAACCAUGACAAAUGUGGAAAUAAGUUUAAAAGGAUUGCCUAUGUUUGAUCCAUAUAAGAAUUGUCACUUUCUUGGGGAGGGAUGAGGUAAGGAGAAAAAUUUGGGACACAAAAUCUUCCAGAAAUCAAUAAUGAAAACUAGCUUUACAUGUAUUUGGAAAAAUAAAAUACUAUUGAGAAAAAAAAAGAGAAAAAAGGUACUAGAGGCAAAAGCCAAUUCAAGACAUCUACUUGUACCAUGGGAAAGAACAGGGUUUGAGAUGCUAAAAGGAAGGGAGGGAAAUGGAAUUCUGCCUAAGGAAAUGAGAGGACAAGCAUAGAAUGAUUAGCUUCCUAGAGCUGGAAAGAACUCUUGCUUGAGCUCACCUAUCUCUGAGGUUCAGAGAAGGAAAGAGACUUAUUUGAGGUUGUGGAACAGAUAAAAAGAGCUAUCAUUUGAAUUCAUGCUGUCUGGCUUCAAAUCCAAUUCUUCUAUUGUAUCACAUUGCUAUACCCUAGGCUGGGGGGUUCCUGUAAAUGCUAAGAGCUGUCAGAGAGGGAAAUGAGGGGGAGUGUGGGGAGGUAAAAUGCCCUAGGUCACACUCAAGAUGUUUUUGCCUAGAAGAAAGUGACUGUGAAAAGCCCAUUUACGAGGUUGGGAGAGAAAGCCUUUAGAGAGCUGGUUUAGAAGUGAGAAUUAAGGCUAAUGUGUCCACUGGGAAUGAGAGACUCCAUGUGGAUGGAUUAUGCUGCUAGAAUUUUUUAAAAAAUUGACUUCCCUUAUUUCAAAGCCAUCUUCAAAUGACACCUCCUCCAGGGAGCCUCCUCUGACUCAGACAGGGCAAGGUAGGAGCCCUGAAAAGUGUUGAUGAGACAAUGGAGCUCCCCUCCCUCUUCCCUGAAAUCUCUCCACUCACUCAGUCUCAUGCUGAAUGAAAAACUAGCACUACAUUCAAGGCUGGGGGCUCUUAGGAGAGGCUGAACAAUUGUUUCAUCAGGCGAAGACUGCCUGGCAGAUGGCUCUGAGAACAAAGAGUAGAUUUUUUUCCUCCUUGAUUUUCCCUCCUUUCCUUAGAAUCACUUUAAAAUACACUUGCAUCAAUGAGAUCAUUCACUCACACAUUCACAGGCUCUGCCUGUGCACACAUAGCACAUCACCCCACGAAUUUACAUGCAGACCCGCAUUGGCGCAUUCACAAAUAUGCACAUGCAUUCAUAUCCACAACCUCAAUUCGAAUCAGCAAACAAUUCAACAAACAGUCAUUAAAUGCCUGCCACGUCCUUGGCCCUGGGCAGUUCAAUGUAUUUAUCAGUGUCUUGGAUGAAGGCAUAGAAGGCAUGCUUGUCUAAUUUCCAGGUGACACAAAGCUGUGAGGGAGAGCCAAAGCCUUGAGCCACAAAUUCAAAACUAAAAAACCUGGAUGGUACGAUUCCUUAAGAAGAGAGCUUUUUAGUCAAGGAAUGGAUGAUUUCUUGGGGAGCACCAGCAUUAAGAAUUACUUCAAGAAUAACUCCAAAGUGGAUAAUGUCCAAGUUCAGAAAUUAUUUGGUCAGAAUCUUCAGGGAAAGGAGAUUUCCUGAAGGAACAUGAUGUCUCUUGGAGAAAAAAGAGAUUUACCUACAGUGUUCCUGUUCAAGGUAAAGCCAGUGAGUUAGUUAUCUAGGCAGAACAGAUUUAAUGAAAAGGAGAUUAUUUGCUCAGCUUACUUCAAAAUGUUUUUACCUUCCCGAAGGAAGUCUAAACCAGAGAGCAGUACUGUGAAACUUGGAACAACUGUGUAGAACAAUAGGAUAGAUGGAAGCCACUAGAAUGUCAAAGUGAUUUUAUGAUGGGAAUUUCAACAUGAGUUCCUUUUGGGGGCAUAAAAUGUGACCUGGCACUGAUGGAAAGUUUACUUUAUAGGUUUUCUUUUGUUUGUGUAAACUCCUAUAAAUCCUUUGUGUCAUACACUUUUUCUGGGGUUACAAAUAAAAACUAUCUUAAUUUGUGGGUUGCACCUGGAACACUUGAAUGAAAACUGGAAAUCCUUUUUUUUAAAUCAACAUUUGGGAAAAUCUAGACUCCUUGAAAGAGUCUUAAGUUCCCCUCCCACCCUGCCCUGGAGAUUACUGGACCAUACUUUGAGAACCUUGGAAGACUGAACAAAUGUGAGAGAUGUGGGGGAGGCAGAAUUGAUAAGACUUGUUGAUUGAUUGAAGACCUGAAUACUAUAGAAUUAGAGUGUGAUUUUGUUGCAUCUAAUGGCAGCUAGAGAGCACAGUGUGUAGAAUGUUGUGUCUGGAGUCAGGUAGAGCUGAAUUCAAAUCCAGCCUCAAAUACUUAUUAGCAGUAUGACCCAGAGCAAAUGCCUUGCCUCAAUUUCCUCAUUGUAAAAUGGGGAUCAUAAUAGUACCUACUUCCUAAAGUUAUCAUGAAGAUUGAAUGAAAUCAUAUUUGUAAAGUGCUUAGCAUGGGCUAGCACAUAACUAAUGCUUAAUAAAAGCUUGUUUUCUGCUUUCUGAUUGUGUGACAUCAGAUUAGGAAGGAUCUAAGCCAAUUGAUUGGAUUUGGACAGGGCUUCUAAGCCUUGACAUUGUGGAUAUGAGUUAUUAGAGGUGCAAAUUAGAAGAAGAGAAAUGCACUUCUGUAUAUAUGCUGCAUCUAGAUGGUGCAAGGAGAGAGUGCUGGGUCUCAGGUAAGAUGCUCCAAUUAAAAUCCAGCCUCAAAUGCUUACUAGUUAUGUCAUCCUAGGCAAGUCACUUAACCUUUCUCUGCCUCAGUUUCCUCAUUUAUAAAAUGGAAAUAAUAAUAACACCUACUUCCCAGGUAAUUGUAUGGAUCAAAUUAGAUUGUAUUUGUAAUGUUCUUUACAAAUCUUAGAGUGGUACAUAAAUACUUCUUCUUCAUCAUCAUCAUCAUCAUCAUCAUCGGCACAUUUUAAGGAAUUCACAGAUAUACUUAGAAAAUGGUCAUUAGAGGCUUGGGACUGAAAGAUUAAUCAUUUGUCAGGGUGCCCAGAAUCCUAUCCCUGUUGUCCAGGAGGCAGAGAAAGCAUCCCAAGGCAGCCUCUCCCCAUAAUGGGUCUGGUUUGUCAGGCUUUCGAUCGAUCUCAGACAGGUAAUGCUGUGAGCUUCCAAUCAUUCUAAAUUCAUUUGGAAUUCAGCGUCAUAGCAGGGGAGCUGGGUGAAUUCAUUAGACAUUGUCAGAAAUGGCCUCUCUCCUGACGGAGGCUGCCCCUGAAAUCCAAUGCUAAUUAAGCCUUAUUUUGUGGAGACACAAAGAGCUAUGGCCCUUUUUUCUCCCUACAAGAGCAUUCAUCUGCCUCUCUAUUGCAAACAUGAAUUAUUUAACAAGGUCUGUUCAGACCUUGGACUUUAGAUUCGGAAGUAGCUACUAUGGAAGGAAAUAAGAUUUCUCUGAUAGAGGAGAGAUAGGUGGGAGUGAGCAUGGCAAGUACUAAGAGAUUCCCAGACACUCAAAGCUGAAACCCCUAUGACAGGCACAUUCGGGUAAGAGAGUGUUAUUACUGGCACCAGAAGACCUACAUUAAAAUCCUACCUCUGACACUAGCUGGCACUGAGCAAGCUAUUCAUCUCUCAGUUUAUUGGUCUGUGAAAUGGGAAAAUGAUAGCACCUUCCUCACCAAGUUGUUGUGAGGCUCAAACAAGAAGUAUACACACAUUAUAAAAUUUGGAAACACUUAUAUGUGCUAGGCGCUGUCCUAGGUGCUGAGGAUACAAAUGCAUAAAUUAAGUUUUCCUCGCUUUCUAUAAGGAGAGACGUGUGUGUGUGUGUGUGUGUGUGUGUGUGUGUGUGUGUGUAAAUAUAGUUAUGGAUAGAGAGAUAGAUGGGUAUAGAUAUAGACAUAUAGACAUCUAUAUCUAUACCCAUCUAUAUCUAAAAGUGCACACCAAAUACAGGAAUACAGACAUAUGGACUGGACUUGUGAUUUCAGUGGUAUAUGAAACUCAGUGAUGUGGAAAAUCUACUUUACUGACCCAAUUCUCAUCUUCUUUGGAACUUUAUAAUCUUAUGAAGUCACCUUAUACAUUAAAAAUUAAUUGCUCACACAGAUAGGAUGUAUCAGAAGUAGGACUUGAACCUAGAACUCUCUGAGGAUAGGAACUAUUUUCAUCUUUUUUUGUGUACUCAGAGAUUAACAUAGUGCCUAAUACAUUUAGUACUUUGAUCAUUCAGUUGUGUCUGAAUGAUUCCAGUUGGGAUUUUCUUGGCAAAAAUACUGGAGUGGUUUGCCCUUUCCUUCUUCAGCUCAUUUUACAGAUGAGGCAGAUAGGUUGUUCAGGGUCACAAAGCAAUAAGUGUCUGAAGAUAGAUUAGGAUUCAGAUUUUCCUGACUUUAAGCCCACUUUAGGCCAUUUAGCUGUUCUAACUAGAAUUUAGAAGGAGCCUAUUAAAUACUUGUUAAUUGAUGCUAUUCUAUGUGACUCCAUUCCCUUUUCCUGCCUUCAGCUAUAAAAUGAAAACAAGAAUUCUAUGAUUCUUUGAAGCACACGAUUUUAUAUAUUACAAAGGGAGGCUUCAUUAGGACCCCAUCCUUCCUUACCUUCUACAACUGAAUUUCAUUAUUCUUUGCAGCAGUCCUUAAAAUAGUUCUUCCUCAGCCAGAGAUUGAUCCCCUAUCACUAGAGUAAUCUAUAUAAUCAAUUAUAGCCUGAAGCUUGAAUACAAUUCCAGACUGAAUCCUAACUGAUGGCCAUGUUAUAGAUGGGUGUUGUUGGGGAAUGGUAAUCAUAAAUGACUUGGUACAAGUUAUCCCUACUAUUGGAAGCAUCACAGAACCAAACUUUUGUUGAUAGUGAGACUCCUAGCUGCCUCUUGGCUCCCAUAAUGCAUUUGUAUUGUACCCCAAAAUUUGGCUGGGAGUUUGCUUACUCUUGAGAAAUCAAGGCUUUUCUUUCUGUGAUUCCAAUCCUUCUCUGAGAUUUGCUAUAUAUUGCUAAAUCUCAGAGUCCCCCUCCUCUCAUCAACAUGCCUCAAAUUCAAGUACUCAUAAGAUACCAGAACUCUGAUAGCAGCUCAACGCCAAAUGCUUUCCCUGCCUUCUGAACAAUUGGAGUAGGACUCUGGGAUCCCUGACAAAUGAUUAAACUUUUAGUCUUUCCCCAGCUUUUAAUGAUCAUUCCCUAAGUAUAUAUGUGAAUCCUUAAAAUGUGGUGAUGGUGAUGAUGAUGAUCAAAUAUUCCCCUCUUCUAACCCCCUAUCAAAACUAUCUGGUCUAUUUCACUAUAUUCUUAUCUAAUCCAUAUCUGUUCAUCUUGUCCGCAAGGUCAGCAUGAGAAAUUUGAUCAAAGGCUUGGCUAAAAUCAAAGAUUGUACCACAUUGGCAGCCUUAUCCUCACUUAGAAAUCUAAAGAAUCUGUCAAAAAGGGAAUGAGAUUUUUCUUUACAGUAUAUGUUUUUUGAGAAAGGCAUGCUGAGUUUUAGUGAUCUUUCUGGUUGUUCAAUAGCCAUCCUUUUGAUAAGAUAGUCCAGAAUUUUUCUGGAAUUCUAAUUCAAGUGACUUGAUCUGCAGUUUCUUUUAUUUUUCUUUGUCCUUGUCAAGUCACUUAACUCUUUUCCUUUAUCCAUGAUCACAGAUAAGUGCUCAGCAAUCAUAUCUACAAGUUCUUUCAGAACUCUGGAAUGUAGACCUGGCCUAGUGAUGGAGUUUAUUGAAGGCCAAUAGUAUUCUCAUUAUUUUCUCACUUCUCUUUGAUUUUAACUAUUAAUUAACUAUGAUCUUUCCCCCAUGGUAUUCCAGUCCAAAAUUCAUUCUUUGUGGCAGAGAAAACAGAAGCAUAAUAAGGAACUGAAGACUAAGAGGGGCAAUGGACACUGAGAGUCAGGAGAACUUGUAUCCCUGAGUUCAAAUCUGUCUUAGAUAUUUACUAGCUAUGUGACUAUGGGCAAAUCACUUAACACUGUUUGCCUCAGUUUUCUUAUCUGUAAAAUGAACUGGAGAAGGAAAUAGCAAAUCAUUUCAGUUAUCUUUUUUCAAGAAAAUUCUAUCUGGGGCCAUGAAGAGUUGGACAUGACUGCAAAGAGAAAAUGGCUACUCCCAAAGGAACAAAAUUCCAAGGGUGAAAUUUCAAGCACUUUGGCAGGCCUCUGGCAGGAGUGUAGGGUAACAUAUGGGGGAAGAGCAUGAAGGAGAAGUUUAUGAAUCCCAUCAUAUCACACCAUGCAUGUGGCUGCCAAUAUCUCGUUUAUCUCUUCAUAUUUUUAUAGAGAGCCGGGGUUCUGAAUGAUAAAGUCUGACCUUAUAAAACACAUUGGAGUCUUACUAGAGGAAUAGGAAUUACCUAGAGGAAAAGAAAUGCUAGGAAGAUCAUAUGAAAAAGAAAAGCUGGUCCUUUAAAAGAGGAGAUGGCUCCAUGUAGUGGAAUAUAAAUCUUGGACUGGGCUUCCAGUUCCAGCUUUGCUUUUAAUUGAUUUGAUGACUUUGUCUACAUUCUUUCCUCUCUAUGGGCUCUCCAUUUCCUCAACUACAAAAUUAGAUAGUUGGACUAGACUCAGUUUCCCCAGUUGAAAAAUGAGAGGGUUGGACUAGAUAACCUCUAAGGUGCCUUUCAGCUCUAGUGUUGUGAGCCUAUAAUCCUAUGAUCUAAGGUCCUUUCAACUCUAAUACCUUGUGAUUCUGGUAUUAGAAACAUCGAGGAAAUAUAUGCUUCCCUCCAUUCUUGAGUCUCUUGAGCCAUUCUGUAUGACUGCUCCUGCCCACAUUCUAACUUGUAUAAUUGUCUCUAAAUGUCUUCUUUUUUAAAAAUAUUGGUUUAUAUUUUUAAAAAGUAGAUUUUCUUUCCCUCUACUCUCCCUCCAUCACUGGAAAGAAAAAAGGAAAAAGAAAACAAUUGUAACAAAUAUGCAUAAUCAAGUAAAACAAAUUCCUGCAUUGAACUUGUCCAGAUCUACACAUCCACACAUAGAUAUACAUAAAUAUAGAUAUGCAUAUACAAAUAUUACAUAUUAUUUUAUGCAUGUUUAUGUGUACAUAUAUGUGUACAUGCAUAUACACAUAUAUAGAAAGACAGAGAGACAAAGACAAACACGAACAGAAAGAGAUACUGGGAGAGAGAAGUCAGAGAAAUAGACAGAGACAAACACCCAUAGAAAUAGACAGAUAAACACAGAGUGAGAUAGAGACAGAGACAGAGUCAGACAGACACACAGAGACAGAGAGAGAGACAGAGAAAGAAAGAAAGAGAGAGAAAAAAACAGAAACAGAGAAAGGAGGGGGCAGAGGAAGGGAGGGAGGAAAAAAGAGUCAGACAGAGAGAUAGACUGAUAGACAGAGACAGAGAUAGAGUUUUAGAGAAAGAAAGUAUUUAAUUAUCAUCCUGAGAUUGUAAGUGCGUUUUAACUCACACUUAUAUUCCCCUAGCAUCUAACACAGAACACAUAAUAAGCCAGAAUAAAUGUAUAUUCAUUUGAUUGGAAUUCCUUAACCAUUCACCUCAUAUACAAUGUAGGCCUGUGUAGGUGCUCAGUAAAUUCUUGUGGAACAGUAUGGUGCACAGGACAAAUGCUGCAGUCAGAUUCAGGGAACUGGAGUUUGGAUCCUCAGCUUGCCUCUGCUACUUCCUAUCCCAGUGGUUUCAUUGGUGUACGACAAUGAGAAAACAACCUUUACUAAUAAACUUCAGUGCCUACUCUGAAGUUUAUAGUCUUUGAGAUUUGGUGGGACAAUGAGAGGGUAAGUGACUUUCCCAGUGUUAUUGCACUAGUGUGUGAUAAAGAUAAGACAUGAACUCAGGUCUUUUCCUGUCCUUAAGGCCAAUUUUUUACCUAUUAUGCUACAUUUCCUCUUUACUGUUUUAAAGAUCUGGAAAAAAAAGUACUCUGUGAGUUGGGAAAGGGAAGAUCACUAGAGAUGUGGAAUGAUUGAAGGUUUUUGGUAGAAGAUUUGCUUUAUUUUUAAAUUUAAUUAAAUUUUGUUUUUAUUUUUAUUUUAUUUUAUUUUUUUGGUUUAAUGUCACAAUCAUUUCCUGGUAUUAAUUCCUUCCCCAGUGAACUCUAGUUACCUAGGAAAAACCUGUUAAGCAAAACAAAAUGAUAAAAUGAACAGAUUUACAACAUUAUGAAUUUCUGAUCCUCCACUUUUUUUUUUAACCAAGAGGGAAGUACAUUGUAUCAUUUGCUAUUUUGUCUUUUAUUUUCUUAAAGUUGGUCAUUAUAAUUAAUCAGAGUUGGGCUACUUUUCAGGAUUGCUUUCCCUGGCAUUAUUGUAUUCACUGUUCACAGAAUCACAGAAGCCUUUAUUUGGAAGAAAUCUCAUCAAUCAUUAGGUAAAACCCAUAAAUAUAGCACUAGAUCAUUCUCCACCAAUGGUUAUCCUGUAUAUACUUGAAAAUCUCUAAAGAAAAGGAAUUCUUCACUUCCAGAGGAAGCUAUUUAACUUUGGGGUGAUAAUAACUACUAGGAAGUUUUUUCCUCAUAUCAAGUAUAAAUUUUCUUCUUUACAACUUCCACUACCUAGUCCUCAUUCCUCUCCUGGUUCCUCUUCUGACCUUGUCUCCAUGUCUCUUCUGCCUUCUUAUCCUGAAACUUCCACCUGCCCUUGAGGUACUUCCUCUCCCAUUGCUGAGUUCAUUUCAGGACUUCCAUUUUGGGGACAGAUCUAAGAUGGUCUUUUAUUUUUCUCAUGGCUUUGCUUGGGCUCUGUGGGCUUUUCUCUCUCUUUUUUUUAGUUUUUAAUUUUCAAAAUAUAUGCAUAGAUAAUUUUCAACAUUCACUUUUGCAAAACCUUGUGUUUCAAAUUUUUUUCUCCUUCCUUUCCUCUUACCCCAUUCCUUAGACAAGUAAUUCAAUAUAUGUUAAACAUGCAAUUAUUGAUAGGAAAACUGGAAAAUAAUAUGUCAGAAACUUGUCAUGGACCUACACUAUACCACCUACCCCAAACCAAAAUAAAAUCAAACUAGGUACAUGAUUUGGGCAUAGAGGAUGAUACCAUAAAUAAAUCAGAAGAGCAAUUUACCCAUCAGAUCUUUGGAGAAGGGAGGAAUUUCUGACCAAAGAAAAAUUAGAGAACAUUAUAAAAGGCAAAAUGGACAACUUUGAUUACAUUAAAUUAAAAAGGUUUUGCACAAACAAAACCAACAGAAACAAGAUUAAAAGAGAAGUACAAAGCUGGGAAAAAAUCUUUACAAGUAAUGUUUGUGAUAAAGAUUUCAUUUCUUGAAUGUAAACUGCUUGCAUUUUUGUUUUUCUUCCCGGGUUAUUUAUAGCUUCUGAAUCCAAUUCUCCCUGUGCAACAAGAGAACUGUUUGGUUCUGCAUACAUAUAUUGUAUCUAGGAUAUACUGUGACAUAUUUAACAUGUAUAGGACUGCUUGCCAUCUGGGGGAGGGGGUGGAGGGAGGGAGGGGAAAAAUCGGAACAGAAGUGAGUGCAAGGGAUAAUGUAAAAAAUUACCCUGGCAUGGGUUCUGUCAAUAAAAAGUUAUUUAAAAACAAGAUUUCAUUUCUAAAAUAUAUAAAGAACUAAGUCAAAUUUAUAAGAAUACAAGUCAUUCCCCAAUUGAUAAAUGAUCAAAAAAUAUGAACAAUUUUCAGGUUGUGAAAUUAAAGCCAUCUAUAGGCAUUUGAAAAAGUGCUCUAAGUCACUAUUGAUUAGAGAAAUGCAAAUUAAGACAAUUCUGAUGAUCACCUCACACAUAUCAGAUUGGCUAAGAUGAUAGGAAAAGAUAAUGAUUAAUGGAGUGAUGUGGGAAUUGUGCAAUGCUAAUGCAUUAUUGGUGGAGUUGUGAAAUUAUCCAACCAUUUUGGAGAGCAAUCUGAUUCUAUGCCCAAAGGAGUAUCAAACUAUGAUCCAGCACUAUCACUCAGGUGCAAAAUGUUUAUAGCAGCUCUUUUUGUAGUAGCAAAGAAAUGGAAAAUGAAUGAAUGCCCAUCAAUUGGGGAAUGGCUGAAUAAGUUGUGGUACAUGAAAAUAAUGGAAUAUAAUCAGAGUCCCAAAAAACUAUUUUAAUGACCUAGAAAAAAUAACAACAAAGUUCAUAUGGAAAAACAAAAGGUCAAGAAUUGCAAGGGAAUUAAUGAAAAAAAAAUCAAAUGAAGGUGGCUUAGCUGUACCAGAUCUAAAAUUAUAUUAUAGAGCAGCAGUUACCAAAACUAUUUGGUAUUGGUUAAGGAAUAGAUUAGUUGAUCAGUGGAAUAGAUUAGGUUCAAGGGAUAAAACAGUCAACAAAUA